UUUUGGGGUCUGGCCGACUCAAAGCUAGCUGUUUCGCUCUAUUCAUCUCAAGGAAAAAUGGUUUUAUACCAUUUCAAUCAAGUCGCUUCUCACAAACCCUAAUCGUACAUUUUAUAUUCUCAGGCAAAGCGGAUUUGGAUCAAAGAGAAGAAGUGAGAUCCCCCCCGGCGCUCAAUUUGUUCAAUAUAAUUUAAAAUGGCUGGGAGAAACCGCAUUCCUCGCGAGGCCUUCAAUGAGCGGCGUGGAUUUCCUCCUGAAAGACCUUUCCACCGUGGUCCUCCUCUGCCACAGCGACCUCCUCAUCCUGCGAUAUUGGAGGAAGAGCUUGAAAUGCAACAUGCAGAAAUUCGGAGGCUUUUGAGUGAUAACAGCAGGCUAGCAGAAGAUCGAAUGGCUAUACAACAAGAGCUUGGUGCUGCAAAAGAUGAAAUUCACCAUUUGAAUCUUGUUAUUGGUGACAUUCGUGCUGAGCAAGAACUGCACUCGAGGGCACUUAUUGACAGAGGCUUAAAGAUGGAGGCAGAUCUCCGUGCAACUGAGCCACUGAAGAAGGAGGCUGGGCAACUCCGUGCAGAAGUUCAAAAAUUGAAUAAUGUUAAGCAAGAACUAACUGGCCAAGUUCAGACUCUCAAGCAAGAUGUGGCCAGGAUGCAAGCAGAUAAUCAACAGAUAUCUGUUCUAAGAGCAGAAAUUGAUGGCCUGCACCAGGAGUUGAUGCGUGCAAGAAAUGCCAUUGAUUAUGAAAAGAAGGCAAAUAUUGAGCUGAUGGAGCAGAGACAGGCAAUGGAGAAGAACAUGGUUUCCAUGGCACGUGAAGUUGAAAAGCUACGUGCAGAACUUUCCGUUGUGGAUGGUAGACCUUGGGCUGCUGGUGGACCAUAUGGAAUGAAAUUCAACAGUUCAGAGGGGGCUUUUCCUGCAUCAUAUGAAGGAUAUGGGGCUCAUCUGGCUGCUCCUGAUAAGGGUCCUUUUCAUGGUCCUCAUCCUGGGACUUGGGAGAAGCCUCGCACUACACGUCGCUAGGAGCCUAGGAGAGUUUUUGCUUGACGGAAGAAAGGCGAAAUUGUUGCUCCAUUUUGGAAAUGCAAAAUAUUGGACAACAUGGAGUUCAUCCUCUAUGUUUGCCUGCCAAAUCAAUGAGAACCUGCAUGCAUCAUGCAAUAAGGUGAAGAAAGAAGAUCAUGUAUAUAUCUUACAUGAGAUUGAGGAAAUAUAAAUGAAUGAGGUAAAGUUGCAUACAUGCAUGUUCUAGACAAAACAUGGAAGAAAA
Hibiscus syriacus is the source of this 1270-nucleotide RNA transcript. It is a transcript of the gene named protein FLX-like 3, with no coding region annotated. The record is from RefSeq and is a predicted model, not a curated record. The transcript has 7 exons. NCBI's taxonomy places the organism in Eukaryota, Viridiplantae, Streptophyta, Magnoliopsida, Malvales, Malvaceae.